RNAcentral lists this ribosomal RNA (466 nucleotides) under uncultured bacterium. RNAcentral describes it as "partial 16S ribosomal RNA". It matches the Rfam family "Bacterial small subunit ribosomal RNA", at positions 28 to 507 of the family's 1533-position model. The record is from RNAcentral.
GAUGAACGCUGGCGGCGUGCUUAUCACAUGCAAGUCGAACGAUGAAGCCCAGCUUGCUGGGUGGAUUAGUGGCGAACGGGUGAGUAACACGUGAGUAACCUGCCCUUAACUCUGGGAUAAGCCUGGGAAACUGGGUCUAAUACCGGAUAGGAGCGUCCACCGCAUGGUGGGUGUUGGAAAGAUUUAUCGGUUUUGGAUGGACUCGCGGCCUAUCAGCUUGUUGGUGAGGUAAUGGCUCACCAAGGCGACGACGGGUAGCCGGCCUGAGAGGGUGACCGGCCACACUGGGACUGAGACACGGCCCAGACUCCUACGGGAGGCAGCAGUGGGGAAUAUUGCACAAUGGGCGCAAGCCUGAUGCAGCGAUGCCGCGUGAGGGAUGACGGCCUUCGGGUUGUAAACCUCUUUCAGUAGGGAAGAAGCGAAAGUGACGGUACCUGCAGAAGAAGCACCGGCUAACUACGUG